RNAcentral lists this ribosomal RNA (439 nucleotides) under uncultured bacterium. RNAcentral's name for it is "bacterial SSU rRNA". It matches the Rfam family "Bacterial small subunit ribosomal RNA", at positions 954 to 1392 of the family's 1533-position model. The record is from RNAcentral.
GCAUAACGCGAAGAACCUUACCAAGGCUUGACAUAUACGAGAACGGGCCAGAAAUGGUCAACUCUUUGGACACUCGUAAACAGGUGGUGCAUGGUUGUCGUCAGCUCGUGUCGUGAGAUGUUGGGUUAAGUCCCGCAACGAGCGCAACCCUCGUUCUAUGUUGCCAGCACGUAAUGGUGGGAACUCAUGGGAUACUGCCGGGGUCAACUCGGAGGAAGGUGGGGAUGACGUCAAAUCAUCAUGCCCCUUAUGUCUUGGGCUUCACGCAUGCUACAAUGGCCGGUACAAAGGGCUGCAAUACCGUAAGGUGGAGCGAAUCCCAAAAAGCCGGUCCCAGUUCGGAUUGAGGUCUGCAACUCGACCUCAUGAAGUCGGAGUCGCUAGUAAUCGCAGAUCAGCAACGCUGCGGUGAAUACGUUCCCGGGUCUUGUACACACCG